This 339-nucleotide ribosomal RNA is filed under the name uncultured bacterium. RNAcentral's name for it is "bacterial SSU rRNA". It matches the Rfam family "Bacterial small subunit ribosomal RNA", at positions 30 to 369 of the family's 1533-position model. The record is from RNAcentral.
AUUGAACGCUGGCGGCAUGCUUUACACAUGCAAGUCGAACGGCAGCGCGGGGGCAACCCUGGCGGCGAGUGGCGAACGGGUGAGUAAUGCAUCGGAACGUAUCCUGUAAUGGGGGAUAACGUAGCGAAAGUUACGCUAAUACCGCAUACGCUCGAGAGAGGAAAGUGGGGAUCGCAAAGACCUCACGUUAUAGGAGCGGCCGAUGUCCGAUUAGCUAGUUGGUGGGGUAAAGGCCUACCAAGGCGACGAUCGGUAGCUGGUCUGAGAGGAUGAUCAGCCACACUGGGACUGAGACACGGCCCAGACUCCUACGGGAGGCAGCAGUGGGGAAUUUUGGAC